Molecule: ribosomal RNA, 496 nt
Filed under: uncultured bacterium
Lineage: Bacteria
Description: partial 16S ribosomal RNA
Rfam family: Bacterial small subunit ribosomal RNA
Source: RNAcentral
AUGAACGCUGGCGGCGUGCCUAAUACAUGCAAGUCGAGCGAACGGACGAGAAGCUUGCUUCUCUGAUGUUAGCGGCGGACGGGUGAGUAACACGUGGAUAACCUACCUAUAAGACUGGGAUAACUUCGGGAAACCGUAGCUAAUACCGGAUAAUAUUUGGAACCGCAUGGUUCAAAAGUGAAAGACGGUCUUGCUGUCACUUAUAGAUGGAUCCGCGCUGCAUUAGCUAGUUGGUAAGGUAACGGCUUACCAAGGCAACGAUGCAUAGCCGACCUGAGAGGGUGAUCGGCCACACUGGAACUGAGACACGGUCCAGACUCCUACGGGAGGCAGCAGUAGGGAAUCUUCCGCAAUGGGCGAAAGCCUGACGGAGCAACGCCGCGUGAGUGAUGAAGGUCUUCGGAUCGUAAAACUCUGUUAUUAGGGAAGAACAUAUGUGUAAGUAACUGUGCACAUCUUGACGGUACCUAAUCAGAAAGCCACGGCUAACUACGUG